Molecule: non-coding RNA, 99 nt
Organism: Macroventuria anomochaeta
Lineage: Eukaryota; Fungi; Ascomycota; Dothideomycetes; Pleosporales; Didymellaceae
Source: the annotation of a RefSeq genome assembly
GGGCCUGUGGCUCAGUGGUAGAGCGCCCGCUUUGCAUCAUGACGUUCGCGUCAAGUAUCAAAUUGCGGGAGGUCCAGGUUUCGAUCACCUGCCGGUCCA